Molecule: ribosomal RNA, 702 nt
Filed under: uncultured Burkholderia sp.
Lineage: Bacteria; Pseudomonadati; Pseudomonadota; Betaproteobacteria; Burkholderiales; Burkholderiaceae
Description: bacterial SSU rRNA
Rfam family: Bacterial small subunit ribosomal RNA
Source: RNAcentral
GAGUUUGAUCCUGGCUCAGAUUGAACGCUGGCGGCAUGCCUUACACAUGCAAGUCGAACGGCAGCACGGGUGCUUGCACCUGGUGGCGAGUGGCGAACGGGUGAGUAAUACAUCGGAACAUGUCCUGUAGUGGGGGAUAGCCCGGCGAAAGCCGGAUUAAUACCGCAUACGAUCUGAGGAUGAAAGCGGGGGACCUUCGGGCCUCGCGCUAUAGGGUUGGCCGAUGGCUGAUUAGCUAGUUGGUGGGGUAAAGGCCUACCAAGGCGACGAUCAGUAGCUGGUCUGAGAGGACGACCAGCCACACUGGGACUGAGACACGGCCCAGACUCCUACGGGAGGCAGCAGUGGGGAAUUUUGGACAAUGGGCGAAAGCCUGAUCCAGCAAUGCCGCGUGUGUGAAGAAGGCCUUCGGGUUGUAAAGCACUUUUGUCCGGAAAGAAAUCCUUGGUUCUAAUAUAGCCGGGGGAUGACGGUACCGGAAGAAUAAGCACCGGCUAACUACGUGCCAGCAGCCGCGGUAAUACGUAGGGUGCAAGCGUUAAUCGGAAUUACUGGGCGUAAAGCGUGCGCAGGCGGUUUGCUAAGACCGAUGUGAAAUCCCCGGGCUCAACCUGGGAACUGCAUUGGUGACUGGCAGCUAGAGUAUGGCAGAGGGGGUAGAAUUCCACGUGUAGCAGUGAAAUGCGUAGAGAUGUGGAGGAU